RNAcentral lists this ribosomal RNA (468 nucleotides) under uncultured bacterium. Its description in RNAcentral is "partial 16S ribosomal RNA". It matches the Rfam family "Bacterial small subunit ribosomal RNA", at positions 28 to 507 of the family's 1533-position model. The record is from RNAcentral.
GACGAACGCUGGCGGCGUGCUUAACACAUGCAAGUCGAACGGAAAGGCCCUGCUUUUGUUGGGUGCUCGUGUGGCGAACGGGUGAGUAACACGUGAGUAACCUGCCCUUGACUUUGGGAUAACUUCAGGAAACUGGGUCUAAUACCGGAUAGGAUCUCCUGCUGCAUGGUGGGGGUUGGAAAGUUUCGGCGGUUGGGGAUGGACUCGCGGCUUAUCAGCUUGUUGGUGGGGUAGUGGCUUACCAAGGCUUUGACGGGUAGCCGGCCUGAGCGGGUGACCGGCCACAUUGGGACUGAGAUGCGGCCCAGACUCCUACGGGAGGCAGCAGUGGGGAAUAUUGCACAAUGGGCGGAGGCCUGAUGCAGCAACGCCGCGUGCGGGAUGACGGCCUUCGGGUUGUAAACCGCAUUCGCCUGUGACGAAGCGUGAGUGACGGUAAUGGGUACAGAAGCACCGGCUAACUACGUG